This 253-nucleotide ribosomal RNA is filed under the name uncultured bacterium. Its description in RNAcentral is "partial 16S ribosomal RNA". It matches the Rfam family "Bacterial small subunit ribosomal RNA", at positions 524 to 776 of the family's 1533-position model. The record is from RNAcentral.
UACGGGGGGGGCAAGCGUUGUUCGGAAUUACUGGGCGUAAAGGGUGCGUAGGCGGCUUUGUAAGUCAGUGGUGAAAUAUGGCAGCUCAACUGUCAAGGUGCCAUUGAUACUGCGGAGCUUGAGUACAGAUGAGGUAGGCGGAAUUGACGGUGUAGCGGUGAAAUGCUUAGAUAUCGUCAAGAACACCUAUAGCGAAGGCAGCUUACUAGGCUGUAACUGACGCUGAGGCACGAAAGUGUGGGGAUCAAACAGG